GGGGAAUAUAUUUUCCCCAGAGUGACCUACACAGAAUUAAUCAAUCGUAAAUCGAAAUCUGUUUUCAUAUUGAAUCCACGUGUCACGUGUGUAUAAAUCAUUAGCCUUUGUAUUGCAACCUUCCUUUAAAAAAAAAGACUUUUAGCUUUGUUUAACCAAAGGUUUGUGGUAUCAAAAUAGAAAGCAAUUUUAUGUAUAAUGAGUCAUGAUUAUAUUUUUCGCAAUUUUAACGUAUAAUGCUUGGGCAUGAAUAGAUAACAAGCCAAAUCCUGAAAGCUCGUCCAAGUUGUAGUAUUGCAUGGAUAUGAGGUAAAUAUGGGGAUGAUAAAAAGUUUUCUCAACUUCUAUUUCACUAAGGCAAUGAAGAUGUAUAACGUAACUUAUAUUAUGACAUUUUCGUGAUUCCGUAACAAAUUCAUAAGUAUUGGAAUGUUGUUCAAUCAUUUAGAUUGCUGGAAGGGAAAGAGAACUACUGAUAGGCUUAUACUAUAUGUGACAAAGUCGGCAACCAGGCGACGAGCUGACGAACCGAGGCGAUGGGGUACGACAACAAUGUAGCCAGGAAGGUGACCUUCAGGUUGAUAGCGACCACGACGGCUACCGGGUUACGACUACUGUGGUGGUGAGCAAGCGAUUUCGAGACUGAUGGCGACCACGGUGGUAACCAGCGAGGGAAGAAGGGCGGUGGCCAGGGUGACUACCAGGGUGAUGGCAACCGGAGCAAGGAACAAGAUGACGGCAACGAUGAUCAUCAGGAUGAAGCCGACCAGGGCGACGGCAUGGACGGCAACCGAAGCUUGACCACGGUAAAGACGACCGAGCCGGGGCGACGACCAGAGGGACGGCGACCAGGGUGAUAGCUACGGA
Molecule: long non-coding RNA, 867 nt
Organism: Strongylocentrotus purpuratus (purple sea urchin)
Lineage: Eukaryota; Metazoa; Echinodermata; Echinoidea; Camarodonta; Strongylocentrotidae
Exons: 3
Source: RefSeq, a predicted model, not a curated record